UUUCCGUAGGUGAACCUGCGGAAGGAUCAUUCAUAAUAAGUGUUUUAUGGCACUUUUUUAAAUCUAUAUCCACCUUGUGUGCAAUGUCAGGGUUGAUUGUUAUCUCGAGAGGAUCAGCCCCAAACAUCAACUAUAUCUCAACUCUUUGUCAGAAGAAUAUUAUGAAUAAAACAGUUCAAAAUACAACUUUCAACAACGGAUCUCUUGGCUCUC
RNAcentral lists this unclassified non-coding RNA (213 nucleotides) under plant metagenome. RNAcentral describes it as "partial contains small subunit ribosomal RNA, internal transcribed spacer 1, and 5.8S ribosomal RNA". The record is from RNAcentral.